This 73-nucleotide transfer RNA is filed under the name Candidatus Portnoyibacteriota bacterium. RNAcentral's name for it is "tRNA-Thr". It matches the Rfam family "tRNA". Rfam says of the family: Transfer RNA (tRNA) molecules are approximately 80 nucleotides in length. Lineage: Bacteria; Candidatus Portnoyibacteriota. The record is from RNAcentral. RNAcentral also lists the same sequence under 1 other name.
GCCGAGGUAGCUCAGUCGGCAGAGCACAUCCAUGGUAAGGAUGGGGUCGUGGGUUCAAAUCCCACUCUCGGCU